This is an RNA transcript of Bufo bufo (common toad), 2479 nucleotides long. RefSeq lists it as uncharacterized. The record is from RefSeq and is a predicted model, not a curated record. NCBI's taxonomy places the organism in Eukaryota, Metazoa, Chordata, Amphibia, Anura, Bufonidae. The transcript is spliced from 8 exons.
AGCUACAAGGCUGAAUAUCCUCUUAUCUAUACGUUACAUGUGCUAUAUGUAGCACUGCACUAUGUAUGCAAGAGCUCACAUGCUGGAAUGAUUAACUCUAUGUAGGCGAGUGUGAACUGUGCAGUAAAUUAGUCUGUCAGCUCCUACAACAAGCCCUCAACUCUCUAUGACUGGAAGGAGAAAUAUACAGUGACGGAAAUCAUCACUGACUUCUGUAGACAGGAAAUGCUUGAACCGAAAAAGAAUAAAACCCUGAGAAAAGUUCUGUAAGGGCCCGGCCUCCUCAGUAAGAGCAGAGGGUGGAGAAUUCGGGGCCUGGCUUUAUCUACUGCAAACCUGUCCCUUAUAGGAAGAGAUGGGCCUGACGGUGAGAGAUGCUCUGGUCUACGCUCUGGAGAAUCUGGAGAAGGUGGGAUUUAAGAAGUUUCGAAAGCAGUUACAUGAAAUCGAGGUCAAAGAGAAUUAUAGGAGGAUCCCGAGGGGCAAACUGGAGGACAAGGACUGGGGUGAUGUGGCUGAUCUGAUCAGGGAAUACUACAAGGAUGUCUAUGGGGUGGAGGUGACCCUGCAAGUUCUAGACAAGAUCAAUGAAAGGCAAGUAGCCGAGGAGCUCCAGGAAGACUUACAGAAAGUGGACAGAUUUGUGAGGUUAAAUGAACUGGAGGAGUCGGGAUGUUUAGCCCCAAAAGGCAGGCCAAUGACGCUCGGCCUGAGUGACAGCGGCGAGAUGAUGUGCUCCGUCACGCUGGAGACAUUUUAUCCUGGAUAUCUCCAUAUUGAAUGGAAGUGUAGACGAGAGACGUCAACAGAGGUUUUAUCAUCCCAAGAGGUCUACAGAGAAAGUCCUGAUGGAAGAUCAUUCUCAGCGAGUAGUGAGGUCAGAAUUUCCCAGGAUCUCCUCAGAUGUCCAGAAUCCACAGUACACCUCAGCUGGGAACACGAAUAUACAAGCACCAAGGGGCAGCAAACCUUCUCAAUCAGUGAUCAAGAUUUCCUUUGGAGGCCAGUAGUCGAUGACAUACAGACACCACAGCGUUUAUACCAUGAAAUCCCCGCUGUCCUACAGUGCCACAUAUCAGGAUAUUACCCGGACGCCGUCGCCGUGAAGUGGUUCAGGAAAAAUAAUCGUAAUCUUGAGUUAUGUGAAGAGUCUGAUGAGGUUUCACUUCCAAAAAUCAGAUCAAGUAAAAAUCCCGACAACACCUACAGCUGUACAGCAAGGCUAAUGAUGACGCCUAGACUGAGAAACCACCAGGGGGCAGAAUACAUUUGCCGAGUAGAACAUCCUUCUCUGGAAGAGGCAAUCAAGAAAAGCUCAGGAGGAAUCAACCUGCUGGCAAAACCUCAGCUGGAGUCAAUAGGGAAGACGCUGCUUGAGCAUAUGUCGAUUCGGUUUUCCUUGCAUCUUAAGACUUUUUACCCAAAAGACAUCAAGGUGAAGUGGCAUCAUGGGGAGGAGGACCUCAGAGAAGGGGUGAAGAGGGGGACGAGACACACAGAAACGUUGACAGAACGGGAAGAUUCAUUGUUCGAUGUAAUCAGUGAAUGUUGUCUAUUUGCACCGAGCUUUGGAGAUCCCCAGUAUAAAGCGUAUGUAACCUGGGAGCACGAGUCCAUGGACGGACCUGAGACCAGGAUGUUGUGUGUGAGAGAUUUGCCCUGGACCCCAUUUGUGGAAGAUAUAUUUGUUCUCUGGUUGAUAGAUAAUGAAAGAACCAGGAUGAUGUGUCGGAUUUACAACUUUUUUCCCAACAAACUGACCGUGUCCUGGUAUAAGAAGCAAGAUGGAGCUGUGUCUGCAGUGCAGGACUCUGAGGACAUCACUACUGAGGUUUCUCCACCUGAAAUGAAAAACAAGACAUUCGGCUGUACAGCAACUUUAUGGUUUACUCCAGAUGCGGAGAAGGACGAAGGGUCCGAAUUUAUCUGUAGGGUGGAGCAUCCCAGCCUGGAACAUCCGAUAGAGAAAAGCACCGGACCCCUCCAUAUAUCCAGGCCUGGUGAUUAGAAACCUGGAUUUCAGCAACAUUUUUCUAUUUAUGCACCUAAAAGGUCUUAUCGAAAGAGACAACUCUUAGAAACCUAAGUCAACGGAGAUUAAAAAUCAGUAUAAUUAAAAUGAUAUCCAGCGACGGUGGCCGGCAGUAGCAGCCAAUAACACAAGGAAAUUCGGCUUCGUGGUGAAUGAAAUUUUUCCUGAAAGUUUGAUCAAAGUCAAUUUGUUUCACUUCGAUUCACUCAACACUAAUUACUACAAUACAAGUAAUAAGCCUCGGGACAUCAGAUAUGUUGGGUAAGCACGACAAGAGCAAUACAUUACUCUAGGUUCCAAUAGGAAAAAUGAAAUCGCAAUAUUCCCAGGUAAAACAGGAUGGGACAGUAACAUCGCUUAAAACUCCACAGAGGUGAUCAUUAUCCAUAGGAAACUAACUACAUAGUCGAUAAAAAUAGGGGGUUGUCUCCCUGUGUCGGAUGCCCA